UCGCCUGUUUNNCAAAAACAUUGUUUUUUGUUAGGUAUAAAAAAUAAGACCUGCUCACUGAAGUAUUUAAAGAGCUGCGAUAAAUUAAUCGUACAAAGGUAGCAUAAUCAUUUGUUUUUUAAUUGAAGACUGGAAUGAAAGGUAUAACGUGAAAAUUGGUGUCUUGAUUUAAGAAUUUGAAAUUUAUUUUUUUGUUAAAAAGCAAAGAUGAGGUUAAUAGACGAGAAGACCCUAUUGAGCUUGAUUUAUUAGAUUUAUGUGUAGAUUACUAUGAUAAGUCAAAAUAAAUUUUACUGGGGCGGUAGAAGGAAUUUAAGUAUCUCUUUUUUUAAAAAUUAUUAGUUCAUAUAUUUUUAUCCAAGGUGUUUGAGAAAUAAAAAGUUACCAUAGGGAUAACAGCGUAAUUUUUUUGUAGAGUUCUUAUCGAUAAAAAAGUUUGCGACCUCGAUGUUGGAUUAGGGAUCCUAGUUGGCGUAUAAGUUGAUUAAGGUAGUCUGUUCGACUAUUGAAUUCCUACAUGAUCUGA
RNAcentral lists this ribosomal RNA (526 nucleotides) under Sphaeromimus sp. V cave. RNAcentral describes it as "partial 16S ribosomal RNA". It matches the Rfam family "Bacterial large subunit ribosomal RNA", at positions 1796 to 2608 of the family's 2925-position model. Lineage: Eukaryota; Metazoa; Arthropoda; Diplopoda; Sphaerotheriida; Sphaerotheriidae. The record is from RNAcentral.